UCAUUUUUGUACUUGAAGAUGUUUAAAGUAGAGAAAAAGAAUGUAAAGUUUAUUUUGAGCAUAUGUGAUGUAAAAAGAAAUGAUGCAAGCGAUGUAAUGAAAGGUAAAGAAUCAUGAAUGUACAAGUUGGAUAUAAUGUAUAUGAUCUAAAUCGAAUCAUAGUACAAAUUGAAUGUUAGUUUCCUUUCUUUCACUCAUGGCUAUUGCUUACCCUCGUGUAAGCCGUUAGUGUAUGUUUCCGCUAGUGCACUUCUUUUUGAAAAUGUACAUGUGAAGAGCCUUGGGCGGACAGGGAAAACUCUGUCCGUUCGGCGUCUGUUUGACGUGCUCGGGCCGACCCAA
This 342-nucleotide long non-coding RNA is filed under the name Ananas comosus (pineapple). Its description in RNAcentral is "long non-coding RNA (ACOM_LNC038866)". The record is from RNAcentral. Lineage: Eukaryota; Viridiplantae; Streptophyta; Magnoliopsida; Poales; Bromeliaceae.